CUACGGGUCGCUCCAGUGAGGAAUAUUGCACAAUGGGGGGAACCCUGAUGCAGCAACGCCGCGUGGAGGAUGACGCAUUUCGGUGUGUAAACUCCUUUUAUAUGUCAAGAAAAUGACGGUAGCAUAUGAAUAAGCACCGGCUAACUCCGUGCCAGCAGCCGCGGUAAUACGGAGGGUGCAAGCGUUACUCGGAAUCACUGGGCGUAAAGGACGCGUAGGCGGGUUGGAAAGUCAGGUGUGAAAUCCUACAGCUUAACUGUAGGACUGCACCUGAAACUUCUAAUCUAGAGUAUGGGAGGGGGAGAUGGAAUUAGUGGUGUAGGGGUAAAAUCCGUAGAUAUCACUAGGAAUACCUAAAGCGAAGGCGAUCUCCUGGAACAUUACUGACGCUAAGGCGCGAAAGCGUGGGGAGCAAACAGGAUUAGAUACCCGAGUAGUC
This 439-nucleotide ribosomal RNA is filed under the name uncultured bacterium. Its description in RNAcentral is "partial 16S ribosomal RNA". It matches the Rfam family "Bacterial small subunit ribosomal RNA", at positions 339 to 795 of the family's 1533-position model. The record is from RNAcentral.